ACUACGGGAGGCAGCAGUAGGGAAUAUUGCUCAAUGGGGGAAACCCUGAAGCAGCAACGCCGCGUGGAGGAUGAAUGUUUUCGGAUUGUAAACUCCUUUUUUUAGAGAAGAUAAUGACGGUAUCUAACGAAUAAGCACCGGCGAACUCCGUGCCAGCAGCCGCUGUAAUAAGGAGGCUGCAUGGGUUACUCGGAAUCACUGGGCGUAAAGAGCACUUAGUCGGGUUAGCAAGUCAGAUGUGAGAUCCUAUGGCUGAACCAUAGAACUGCAUUUGAAACUGUUAUUCUAGAGUAUGGUUGAGGUAGGUUGAAUUCUUGGUGUAGGGGUCAAAUCCGUAGAGAUCAAGAGGAAUCCCCAUUGCGAAGGCGGCCUGCUAGACCAUAACUGACGCUGAUGCGCGAAAGCGUGGGGAGCAAACAGGAUUAGAUACCCGGGUAGUC
This 440-nucleotide ribosomal RNA is filed under the name uncultured bacterium. Its description in RNAcentral is "partial 16S ribosomal RNA". It matches the Rfam family "Bacterial small subunit ribosomal RNA", at positions 338 to 795 of the family's 1533-position model. The record is from RNAcentral.